GUUGAAUUACAAGACUACAUGGCUUCUAAGCCAUUUCAAUAGUUAUGUAAUUGUAUAUUGGUUUGGUAUAUUAGAUGUAUAUAGAGUGUAUAAUAUAAUGGGCAGUGAUGAUAACACUUUGGGCUCAUGUGUUGGGCCUCCAAUACUCAUGAGCUUAUUGGGUCAUAUCUGAGCCCGGGUCAUUUGACCCAGUACUCGACCCGGUCCGGAUUGGUUGAUAUUUUGUUAUAUUUGUAUAGGGGUAGGUGGAAACUUCUACACUCUGAUCUUUUCUCUCUUUUCCCAAUAACCGACUCUUCGGUUCUCUCAAAAACUCUCUCCCUUCUCUCUACUUUCUCUCUCUAAUUUCUCUGUGAUUUCAUCGAUUAAUUUCAAUAUUUACAUGGUAUCAGAGCCUUACAAUGAUCCGAUCAUGUUUGUUCGCAUAUCGGUAUCACUUUUGAACGUUUGUUUGAUGAUUUUUGAC
Molecule: long non-coding RNA, 466 nt
Filed under: Nicotiana benthamiana
Lineage: Eukaryota; Viridiplantae; Streptophyta; Magnoliopsida; Solanales; Solanaceae
Description: long non-coding RNA (NBEN_LNC003551)
Source: RNAcentral